GACGAACGCUGGCGGCGUGCUUAACACAUGCAAGUCGAACGGAAAGGCCCUGCUUUUGUGGGGUGCUCGAGUGGCGAACGGGUGAGUAACACGUGAGUAACCUGCCCUUGACUUUGGGAUAACUUCAGGAAACUGGGGCUAAUACCGGAUAGGAGCUCCUGCUGCAUGGUGGGGGUUGGAAAGUUUCGGCGGUUGGGGAUGGACUCGCGGCUUAUCAGCUUGUUGGUGGGGUAGUGGCUUACCAAGGCUUUGACGGGUAGCCGGCCUGAGAGGGUGACCGGCCACAUUGGGACUGAGAUACGGCCCAGACUCCUACGGGAGGCAGCAGUGGGGAAUAUUGCACAAUGGGCGGAAGCCUGAUGCAGCAACGCCGCGUGCGGGAUGACGGCCUUCGGGUUGUAAACCGCUUUCGCCUGUGACGAAGCGUGAGUGACGGUAAUGGGUAAAGAAGCACCGGCUAACUACGUGCCAGCAGCCGCGGUGAUACGUAGGGUGCGAGCGUUGUCCGGAUUUAUUGGGCGUAAAGGGCUCGUAGGUGGUUGAUCGCGUCGGAAGUGUAAUCUUGGGGCUUAACCCUGAGCGUGCUUUCGAUACGGGUUGACUUGAGGAAGGUAGGGGAGAAUGGAAUUCCUGGUGGAGCGGUGGAAUGCGCAGAUAUCAGGAGGAACACCAGUGGCGAAGGCGGUUCUCUGGGCCUUUCCUGGCGCUGAGGAGCGAAAGCGUGGGGAGCGAACAGGCUUAGAUACCCUGGUAGUCCACGCUGUAAACGGUGGGUACUAGGUGUGGGGUCCAUUCCACGGGUUCCGUGCCGUAGCUAACGCUUUAAGUACCCCGCCUGGGGAGUACGGCCGCAAGGCUAAAACUCAAAGGAAUUGACGGGGCCCCGCACAAGCGGCGGAGCAUGCGGAUUAAUUCGAUGCAACGCGUAGAACCUUACCUGGGUUUGACAUGGAUCGGGAGUGCUCAGAGAUGGGUGUGCCUCUUUUGGGGUCGGUUCACAGGUGGUGCAUGGCUGUCGUCAGCUCGUGUCGUGAGAUGUUGGGUUAAGUCCCGCAACGAGCGCAACCCUUGUUCACUGUUGCCAGCACGUUAUGGUGGGGACUCAGUGGAGACCGCCGGGGUCAACUCGGAGGAAGGUGGGGAUGACGUCAAGUCAUCAUGCCCCUUAUGUCCAGGGCUUCACGCAUGCUACAAUGGCUGGUACAGAGAGUGGCGAGCCUGUGAGGGUGAGCGAAUCUCGGAAAGUCGGUCUCAGUUCGGAUUGGGGUCUGCAACUCGACCUCAUGAAGUCGGAGUCGCUAGUAAUCGCAGAUCAGCAACGCUGCGGUGAAUACGUUCCCGGGGCU
RNAcentral lists this ribosomal RNA (1346 nucleotides) under uncultured bacterium. RNAcentral describes it as "partial 16S ribosomal RNA". It matches the Rfam family "Bacterial small subunit ribosomal RNA", at positions 28 to 1381 of the family's 1533-position model. The record is from RNAcentral.